Molecule: small RNA, 101 nt
Filed under: Nitrosomonas eutropha
Lineage: Bacteria; Pseudomonadati; Pseudomonadota; Betaproteobacteria; Nitrosomonadales; Nitrosomonadaceae
Also listed under: 1 other name
Description: Guanidine-I sequence
Rfam family: Guanidine-I riboswitch aptamer
About the family: This family represents a conserved RNA structure found upstream of the ykkC and yxkD genes in Bacillus subtilis and related genes in other bacteria. The function of this family is unclear although it has been suggested that it may function to switch on efflux pumps and detoxification systems in response to harmful environmental molecules.
Source: RNAcentral
GCUUUACGAAACUAGGGUUCCGGCUUUCCAAGGGAAGUGACUGGUCCAAGGGUUUCGGGCCCUUUCAAGGGGUUCCACGGAGGGAUAAAAGCCCGGGAGGU